Molecule: ribosomal RNA, 274 nt
Filed under: uncultured bacterium
Lineage: Bacteria
Description: partial 16S ribosomal RNA
Rfam family: Bacterial small subunit ribosomal RNA
Source: RNAcentral
AUACAGAGGGUGCGAGCGUUAAUCGGAAUUACUGGGCGUAAAGCGCGCGUAGGCGGCUACUUAAGUCAGAUGUGAAAUCCCCGGGCUCAGCCUGGGAACUGCAUCUGAUACUGGGUAGCUAGAGUUUAGGAGAGGGAAGUAGAAUUUCAGGUGUAGCGGUGAAAUGCAUAGAGAUCUGAAGGAAUACCAGUGGCGAAGGCGGCUUCCUGGCCUAAAACUGACGCUGAGGUGCGAAAGCGUGGGUAGCAAACGGGAUUAGAAACCCUAGUAGUCC